Non-coding RNA from Brachypodium distachyon (stiff brome), 170 nucleotides. The record is from Rfam. NCBI's taxonomy places the organism in Eukaryota, Viridiplantae, Streptophyta, Magnoliopsida, Poales, Poaceae.
AUGAUACUCACUCCGUCCAACAAAAGAUGUCUUAAGUUUAUCAAAAUUUGAAUGUAUCUAGACAUGACUUAGUGUAUAGAUGCAUUCAAAUUUAGUCAAACUUGAAUGUCUGGAUAUAUCCAAAUUUUAACAAACUUGAGACAUCUUUUGUUGGACGGAGGGAGUAAAAG